This 869-nucleotide long non-coding RNA is filed under the name Penaeus japonicus. Its description in RNAcentral is "uncharacterized LOC122256079". The record is from RNAcentral. Lineage: Eukaryota; Metazoa; Arthropoda; Malacostraca; Decapoda; Penaeidae.
GCUCCUAAGCCAGACUCCGAGAUGCUUGACGUCCCUCUGCCACACCAUCACGAGGGUCUCAGGCUGUGUGAAGACUCCAUGACGAGACACCCAGGGAGGGAUUUAUAGGAGUAUCAUCAAUACGGAAAGAUCCAACACGCGACGGCAUCCGUGAAAAUGCCGCCGGUUUGUCCACGGCAUUUCCGUUGCACAGCGGCAUAGCGGCGUGUCGGGGAAGUCGGGCAACGGCUAAGACGCGAAUCUUCAGUUGGGGGAGCGACAACCGCGGCGAUGAUGCUCCGAUAACCAUGAUGACGUCAGAGAAAGACAGGCGUGCCAACCUAUGAAAGACAAAGUCGUCUGUAUUGAUGUUCUUCGACUCUCUGAAGCGGCAUUCGGGUGAGCGCCACCAAGACCCUCUCCGCUCCCACCUCAACCGCCGACCGGCAUUGCUAGAGCGAUUUUUCUUGCGCCAUGGCGGAGACGAGCGUGCCCGCCUCAGGGUUGGGUCUGCGCCCCCUCUUCUCCUCCUCCCCCCCUCCCCCCCUUCUCCCCAGCUUCCCCUCUUUCCCGCCCCGGUCGACUGCGAGGGGGAAGCCACGCCGCUGGACUUGGGAGUGACGCGUGGGAGUCUGCAGCAUCCAACGGGAUAAGAUGGAGUCGCUAGUUAUCAUCUGCGUCGGAUGCUGGCGAGAUUACCCUCUCAGUUCAUAAAGGAUUUAUGACGGAACUGAUCUUCACCAUACAUUGGAAAUAUUGGAAAUAUGGAAAAAAAAGCUGCGCUAUUUGACAGAAUAUACCUGUGUCAGAAAAUACCUAUACUGUAUAUAUGAAAACAAUAAAGAUGAAUAUUUGAACAAGUGAAAAGCGUUUUAUAUUUUCCCUUUCUU